UACGGAGGUGGCAAACGUUACUCGGAAUUAUUGGGUGUAAAGGGCAGGUAGGCGGCUUAAUAAGUGGGGGGUGAAAUACUUCGGCUCAAUCGGAGAACUGCCUUCCAAACUGUUAAGCUUGAGUAUGACAGAGGAAAAUGGAAUUCUUGGUGUAAGGGUGAAAUCUGUAGAUAUCAAGAAGAACACCAGCUGCGAAGGCGAUUUUCUGGGUCAUUACUGACGCUAAAUUGCGAAAGCUAGGGGAGCAAACAGA
RNAcentral lists this ribosomal RNA (253 nucleotides) under uncultured bacterium. RNAcentral describes it as "partial 16S ribosomal RNA". It matches the Rfam family "Bacterial small subunit ribosomal RNA", at positions 524 to 776 of the family's 1533-position model. The record is from RNAcentral.